UACGUAGGCAGCGAGCGUUGUUCGGAGUUACUGGGCGUAAAGAGUGCGUAGGCGGUUUUCUAAGUUUGGUGUGAAAUCUCCCGGCUUAACUGGGAGGGUGCGCCGAAGACUGGAAGGCUUGAGUAUGGGAGAGGUAAGCGGAAUUCCUGGUGUAGCGGUGAAAUGCGUAGAUAUUGGGAGGAACACCAGAUGCGAAGGCGGGUCACUGGGCUGAUACUGACGCUGAUGCGCGAAAGCCAGGGGAGCGAACGGG
RNAcentral lists this ribosomal RNA (253 nucleotides) under uncultured bacterium. Its description in RNAcentral is "partial 16S ribosomal RNA". It matches the Rfam family "Bacterial small subunit ribosomal RNA", at positions 524 to 776 of the family's 1533-position model. The record is from RNAcentral.